AGGCAUAGUCUCGCUCUGUCAGCAGGCUGGAUGGAGUGCAGUGAUCUCAGCUCACUGCAACCGCCACCUCCCGGGUUCAAGCGAUUCCCUGACUCAGCCUGUAGUCCAGUAGCUGGGACUACAGGCAUGCGCCACCUUGCCCGGCUAAUUUUUUUUUUUUGGAUUUUAGUAGAGACAGGGUUUCACCAUGUUGGCCAGGAUGGUCUUGAUCUCCUGACCUUGUGAUUACCCCACCUCGGCCUCCCAAAGUGCUGGGAUUACAAGUGUGAGCCACCGCACCCGGCCUUCUUCACCAUUUUUAAGUGAACAUUCACAUCGCUGUCAAUCGUCACCAUCAUCUCCAGAACUCUUUUUGUCUUGCUAAACUGAAACACUGUAUCCAUUAAACAACAACUCUCCAUUCCUGACUUCCCCCAGUUCCUGGCAAUUUCCGUUCUACUUUCUGUUUCUAUGAACGUGACUGUUCUAUGUACUUCAUACGAGUGGAAUCAUACAGUAUUUAUCUUUUUGUGACUUGUUUAUUUCACUUAGCAUAAUGUCUUCAAGGUUCAUCCAUGUUGUAGAAUGUGUCCAAAUUUCCUUCCUUUUUAAGGCUGAAUAAUAUCCCAAUUACAUGUAUAUACCACAUUUUGUUCAUUCAUUCAUUCAUUCAUUUAUUCCUUCAAAGACACUUGGGUUGCAUCCACUUUUUGGUUAUUGUGAAUAUUGCUGCUGUGAAGAUAGUUGCACAAAUGCCUGAUUGAGUCCCUGCUUUUACUUCUUUUGGUUAUACACCCAGAAGCAGAAUUGCUAAGAUUGUGUGGUAAUUUUAUUUUUAGUUUUUUGAGUAAUUGCCAUACGUUUAAGUAGUAAUUACUUAAAGGUUAGUUGCAAUGUGGAAUCUGAAACCAUAUUAAUGAACUUUUGUGACCUGUUACAUUAAAAUUCAUUGGUCUGCCUUGCACAUUGAAUAAAUCUUUAACCCACACAUGAUUCUUCAGUUUGUAUGGGCCAUUUGAAAAAGACUGGUUCACUGAGUUAUGUAGCUUUUCCAAAUAACAGUCCAUCUUUAAUAUAAUAUAAAACAAUCAGAUUCAUUAAUAUUGCCCCUCAUAUCAUCAGAAAAAUCUUCAAAGUAUUGCAAGCUGUUAAGUUCAUGGUGGCUGAUACAAUUCUGAUUUUUAUUUGAAAGCGUGUAUUUUAUCUUUGGCAACAAAUGCUGCCAAUUGUUUUCCUUGAAGUGACAGCCUCACUUUGUUCAUUUUCAAGAAUGUGUCUAACACUUACUCAAGUCCUAAUCACGAUAAUUUGUAGUUUUUUAAGUAAUAAUGAUAUCUACAGGGGUAGGAAAAAACUAUUUUGAGAAUAGUUUGGAUUUCACAGACUUCCUGCAAGUUGUCUUGCGGAUGGCCAGAGGCUAUGAGCUGUCAUUUGAGAACCACUGUGUAAAUACAAUGCUGCUUGGCUGAAAAUUCAUACACAUACUAAACACAUAUGUAUAGUAUGUAUCUUAUUUGUUAAGAAAACUUAUUUUCACUAUUCAAAAAUAACAUAGAUCUAUAAGUGAAAAUUCACUGAAGCAAACAUAUGACAAUAAAAAUCAGCAGUAAUCUCAUCAUCCAUGAAAUAGCUAUAAUUAUUUAUUUAUUUGUUUGUUUGUUUUGAGACAGAGUCUCUCUCUGUCACCCAGGCUGGAGUGCAGUGGCGCCAUCUCGGCUCACUGCAAGCUCCGCCUCCCGGGUUCAUGCCAUUCUCCUGCCUCAGCCUCCCGAGUAGCUGGGACUACAGGCGUCCGCCACCACGCCCAGGUAAUUUUUUGUAUUUUUAGUAGAGAUGGGGUUUCACCGUGUUAGCCAGGAUGGUCUCAAUCUCCUGACCUCGUGAUCGGCCCGCCUCGGCCUCCCAAAGUGCUGGUAUUACAGGCGUGAGCCACCGCGCCUGGCGAAAUAGCUAUAUUUAAUAAUUUGCUACCUGUGUUUCCAGAUAGCUACCUAUAUCUAUUUAUCUACGUAUUUACCUUUUAAAAAUAAAAUCCUAUUAAACAAAUUAUUAUGUAACCUGCUUUGUUUGUAUAAUGAUAUGGGAUAAAUAUCUUCCAUGCUGUUAAACAUUAUCAUAAAGAUACUUUUUAAGAAAAGGCUUUACAUUGAAUCAUAUGGCUAUAUCAAAAUUUAUUUUUGUAUUUAUUUUUUUGAGAUGGAGUCUCACUCUGUUGCCCAGGCUGGAGUGCAAUGGAGCGAUCUUGGCUCACUGCAGCCUUUGCCUCCCAGGUUCAAGCAAUUCUCCUCCCUCAGCCUCCCGAGUAGCUGGGAUUAUAGGCAUGUGUCACCACACCCGGCUAUAUUUUUUUUGUAUUUUUAGUAGAAAAGGGGUUUCACCAUAUUGGCCAGGCUGGUCUCGAACUCCUGACCUUGUGAUCUGCCCACCUUGGCCUCCCAAAGUGCUGGGAUUACAGGCAUGAGCCACUACGCCCGGUCUCAAAAUUUAUUUUAACCAAAGCCAGGAGUUACUUGUUAUAAAAAUUCUGCAUGUAUCAUUCUUUUUUCUUUUUUCUUUUUUUAAAUUUGAGACAGGGUCUCUUUGUCACCCAGGCUGGAGUACACUGGCACGAUCUCAGCUUAUUGCAUCCUCAGCUUCCCUAGGCUUAUGUGAUCCUCCCAUCUCAGCUUCCCAAGUAGCUGGGACUACAGGUGCAUGCCAUCGUGCCCAGCUAAUUUUUGUAUUUUUUGUAGAGACGAAGUUUUGCCAUGUUGCCCAGGCUGGUCUCAAACUCCUGGCCUCAAGCAAUCUGCCUGCUUUAGCCUCUCAAAGUGCUGGAAUUACAUGCAUGAGCCACUAUGCCUGGCCCUUUCACCCACCACUUUUUAUUUUUUUAUUUUUUUUUUAGAGACGAAGUCCUACUCUGCCAUCCAGACUGGAGAAGUACAGUGGCACGAUCUAGGCUCACUGUAGCCUCCGCCUCCCGGGUUCAGGCAAUUCUCAUGCCUCAGCUUCCUGAGUAGCUGGGAUUAUAGACCUGCACCACCAUACCUGGCAAAUUUUUGUAUUUUUAGUAGAGAUGGGGUUUCACCAUGUUGGCCAGGGUGGUCUUGAACUUUUGAGCUCAAACUGAUCCACCCACCUCAGCCUCCCAAAGUGCUGGGAUUACAGGCAUGCACCACCGUGCCUGGCCACACCCACCAUUCUUAUAACUAAAUUAUUAGAUAUUUAUUACUAUUUUCUUCCAUACUAUAAAUUUUUAGAAGUAGUAUCCUGUAGAUCAUGGAAUCUUUAUGUUUUAGAAUAAAUAUGGAUGUUGUC
This 3279-nucleotide long non-coding RNA is filed under the name Homo sapiens (human). Its description in RNAcentral is "HSALNT0388620". Lineage: Eukaryota; Metazoa; Chordata; Mammalia; Primates; Hominidae. The record is from RNAcentral.